Wasmannia auropunctata (little fire ant) is the source of this 2035-nucleotide long non-coding RNA. RefSeq lists it as uncharacterized. NCBI's taxonomy places the organism in Eukaryota, Metazoa, Arthropoda, Insecta, Hymenoptera, Formicidae. The transcript has 4 exons. The record is from RefSeq and is a predicted model, not a curated record.
GGCCCCUAUCGGUAAAAAAACACGAAACGUCUCGUCGAGACUGAUCAAAUAAGCCUCAAAGAAGGAAGCAAACGUGUAUAAACGCAGGGUGAAGAUUACGUUUCUGCAUUUCCAUUAAUUCGUCUCUCACUUUAAAGCGGAGAACGUAUAUCACACCGGGAGCUUUGACCUUACAGUAAAACCGAGACGUUGACGUAGAGCUAUGGAUGGGUCAUUCCGGAAACGACGAGCGACACGAGGCGUACGUGACAAGCGGCCCCUACGUCCAGCUCAGCAGAAUACGAUUGAAAAUAAGGAGGCGUUAAGGCGACGUUACGACUUCACGGUCUCACUAUGUUACGAGGGUCUUCCCAUGCCCUUAAGAUCUACCAUUACAGCCGUAUUAUUCGGUCGAUUGCGCUGCACUGCGGAUGCGCCCCUCAAUCGAAGAUGCAAGCUUCUUCUCGUGCGACUCUCCUCCCGAGCCGUUCGUCUGCCUUUGCGACGCAAAAAUGCCGGGACAUUCACGGAAUGCUGUAGCGAUGAGCGCUACCUUGGAUGGAUAAAAUAAUGCAUAAUGACGGUAAGCGGAUGAAGUCUACACAUAUAUACGUACAAAGAAGAAUCGCACGGAAGCAAAAGCGCGGACUACGUACGUUACGUUUUGUUUCGUACAUGUGAAAAAAAUUCAUGCGGCAAUACAUGGUAAUAAAAACAGCACGAGUAUGUAACAGUCAUUUUGUUACAGUUCGACAAUUAUCGUAUUUUUCCUUUUAAUUUAAAGUAGUGGAAAGAAAAUGUAUAAAGUUAAACCGUUAUUUAAUUAUCUUUUAUAUAUGUUUACUUUGUACGCCAGCAAACGGAAUUGUAUUUAUCUAAAAAUAUUUGUACGAUUCAGUCUUCUAACUUUCUAAAUAGUUUUAAUAUAAGUAUGGCACCUUUAAACGAGUAACGCGCGCUCGUGAGUGUGUGUAUCACAUGUGGAUACAAAAAUGGAAUAAUCUCCUCUUAAUACGUACAUGUGCUCAAGAUAAAUGUUUUUAUAGAUUAAACAUGUUAAAUUAAAAUAUCAACGACACAAUUUUCCUGAUGACAUUCCUCAAGUCACUGUUAUUUGUAACAUUGAAAAACGAAAAUAUUUUCUAAGGCUAAAUCAAUACCGAUUCAAUAUUUCAUUAUUCUAAUUUGCCAACGAUUCCGAUAAUCAGUUUCUUCUCAGCGAUAAAUUCCAAGGUAAAUUCCUGCGAAAGAUAUUAAAAUAAGAUUCGUUUUUAUCUACGUUGUUAUACGAACUUGUCGCGCUGUAUACCGCAUUUCAGCCGACAUAAUGUAAAAAAAAAAAAACUGGACAAUUAAGUGGUUACGAAAGUCUGCCGGGAAUGUCACGCGGUAAAAGGCAGGGCUCCCUUGAAAACUGCGUUUUCACGGGGUGCGCUAUGGCCGAAGUCAAAAGGCGGAAGGACCACAGACGCGGAUGAAGGUAGAUUAAACAUUUUUGAGUCGCGCCAUUAAGCUCGGUAAUAACGAAUUUUACUACUCCGGGAGCACCCCAGCUCUCCCGGCUUCCGCGCGCCAAGUUAAUUACUUUCUCGCUCUGAGGACUUUAACCUCUCUUCUCAUUUGUUUGAACAUCUCAGGCCGACCUGCAGAGAGGCGCGCGGAGGCGCGUCCCUCCUUGGCCUCUCCCCUUAUCUCCGCUGCGUUUACCUUCUUACCCUACGAUGUUCUCGCCUUUAUUAGUCUUUAGCUCGAACAAGUCUUCGAGGACUUUUUGAACUUCGAAGCGUCUGCUACCUCCUCAGUUUCACGGCGUCAAAUACAUUUAAGUCAAACAUUAACACGUCCAGCGCAUGUUACUCGAGACACACGAAAAACGUUUCACCCGCCAGAUUCCCAAUAUUUUCUCACACACGGAGAACAGGAAUAUUUCUGUACAUUCUCUUAAUAUAAUAGUUAAAUUAUGAUUGCGUUUCGAGAAUAACAAUAAAGUUAGAAAUAAGAAUUUUUAAUGUAAGAAUGUAUUUUUUAUGAUUACAUAAAUAUCCACCUAAAAAAA